GUGUCAGCAGCCGCGGUAAUACGUAGGGUGCAAGCGUUAAUCGGAAUUACUGGGCGUAAAGGGUGCGCAGGCGGUUCGGAAAGAAAGGUGUGAAAUCCCAGAGCUUAACUUUGGAACUGCACUUUUAACUACCGGGCUAGAGUAUGUCAGAGGGGGGUAGAAUUCCGCGUGUAGCAGUGAAAUGCGUAGAUAUGCGGAGGAAUACCGAUGGCGAAGGCAGCCCCCUGGGAUAAUACUGACGCUCAGGCACGAAAGCGUGGGGAGCAAACAGGAUUAGAUACCCUGGUAGUCCACGCCCUAAACGAUGUCAACUAGCUGUUGGGGGUUAUUACCCUUAGUAGCGCAGCUAACGCGUGAAGUUGACCGCCUGGGGACUACGGUCGCAAGACUAAA
This 393-nucleotide ribosomal RNA is filed under the name uncultured bacterium. RNAcentral describes it as "bacterial SSU rRNA". It matches the Rfam family "Bacterial small subunit ribosomal RNA", at positions 505 to 898 of the family's 1533-position model. The record is from RNAcentral.